This 160-nucleotide ribosomal RNA is filed under the name uncultured bacterium. RNAcentral describes it as "partial 16S rRNA". It matches the Rfam family "Bacterial small subunit ribosomal RNA", at positions 358 to 511 of the family's 1533-position model. The record is from RNAcentral.
GGAAUCUUCGGCAAUGGGGGCAACCCUGACCGAGCAACGCCGCGUGAGUGAAGAAGGUUUUCGGAUCGUAAAGCUCUGUUGUAAAGAAGAACACGUAUGAGAGUAACUGUUCAUACGUUGACGGUAUUUAACCAGAAAGUCACGGCUAACUACGUGCCAG